AGUGAACGCUGGCGGUAGGCCUAACACAUGCAAGUCGAACGGCAGCACAGUAAGAGCUUGCUCUUACGGGUGGCGAGUGGCGGACGGGUGAGGAAUACAUCGGAAUCUACUUUUUCGUGGGGGAUAACGUAGGGAAACUUACGCUAAUACCGCAUACGACCUACGGGUGAAAGCAGGGGAUCUUCGGACCUUGCGCGAUUGAAUGAGCCGAUGUCGGAUUAGCUAGUUGGCGGGGUAAAGGCCCACCAAGGCGACGAUCCGUAGCUGGUCUGAGAGGAUGAUCAGCCACACUGGAACUGAGACACGGUCCAGACUCCUACGGUAGGCAGCAGUGGGGAAUAUUGGACAAUGGGCGCAAGCCUGGUCCAGCCAUACCGCGUGGGUGGAGAAGGCCUUCGGGUUGUAAAGCCCUUUUGUUGGGAAAGAAAAGCAGCAGGUUAAUACCCCGCUGUUCUGACGGUACCCAAAGAAUAAGCACCGGCUAACUUCGUG
Molecule: ribosomal RNA, 492 nt
Filed under: uncultured bacterium
Lineage: Bacteria
Description: partial 16S ribosomal RNA
Rfam family: Bacterial small subunit ribosomal RNA
Source: RNAcentral